GACGAACGCUGGCGGCGUGCUUAACACAUGCAAGUCGAACGGUAAGGCCCUUCGGGGUACUCGAGUGGCGAACGGGUGAGUAACACGUGGGUGAUCUGCCCUGCACUUCGGGAUAAGCCUGGGAAACUGGGUCUAAUACCGGAUAGGACCACUGCCUGCAUGGGUGGUGGUGGAAAGCUUUUGCGGUGUGGGAUGGGCCCGCGGCCUAUCAGCUUGUUGGUGGGGUGAUGGCCUACCAAGGCGACGACGGGUAGCCGGCCUGGGAGGGUGACCGGCCACACUGGGACUGAGAUACGGCCCAGACUCCUACGGGAGGCAGCAGUGGGGAAUAUUGCACAAUGGGCGCAAGCCUGAUGCAGCGACGCCGCGUGAGGGAUGACGGCCUUCGGGUUGUAAACCUCUUUCAGCACCGACGAAGCGCAAGUGACGGUAGGUGCAGAAGAAGGACCGGCCAACUACGUGCCAGCAGCCGCAGUAA
This 478-nucleotide ribosomal RNA is filed under the name uncultured bacterium. RNAcentral describes it as "partial 16S ribosomal RNA". It matches the Rfam family "Bacterial small subunit ribosomal RNA", at positions 28 to 523 of the family's 1533-position model. The record is from RNAcentral.